This 301-nucleotide long non-coding RNA is filed under the name Zostera marina. RNAcentral describes it as "long non-coding RNA (ZMAR_LNC004192)". Lineage: Eukaryota; Viridiplantae; Streptophyta; Magnoliopsida; Alismatales; Zosteraceae. The record is from RNAcentral.
UCGAACCAUCGUACGACUCUAUUCUGGGUACCCGCCAGGUUGGUGGAAAGGCCACCUUCAAAAGGUCCUCUUGGAAAGGGGCACUUUUGACUCUUAAGAACUCGAUCGGAUUGCUGAUGACUAGAGUGUCAGCCAGCUUCCGACGGAGGUCCUCUAUGAAUCGUGGUGUAAGAGUCCUAUCAGUGCGACUCUUACUGGGUCCAGCUCUUGAUUUUUCUGGCUCUGGACCUUUCUUUUUCUCCGUAGUUGGAGAAUUGUGAGAAGCCGAUUCACACGCUCUCUUGCGGGUGAUGGUUCUCUG